CCUACGGGAGGCAGCAGUAGGGAAUAUUGGACAAUGGGCGCAAGCCUGAUCCAGCCAUGCCGCGUGAGUGAAGAAGGCCCUCGGGUUGUAAAGCUCUUUUGUCCGGAAAGAAAAGCGCCGGGUUAAUACCCUGGUGUCCUGACGGUACCUGAAGAAUAAGCACCGGCUAACUACGUGCCAGCAGCCGCGGUAAUACGUAGGGUGCGAGCGUUAAUCGGAAUUACUGGGCGUAAAGCGUGCGCAGGCGGUUGUGUAAGACAGAUGUGAAAUCCCCGGGCUCAACCUGGGAACUGCAUUUGUGACUGCACGGCUCGAGUACGGCAGAGGGGGAUGGAAUUCCGCGUGUAGCAGUGAAAUGCGUAGAUAUGCGGAGGAACACCGAUGGCGAAGGCAGUCCCCUGGGCCUGUACUGACGCUCAUGCACGAAAGCGUGGGGAGCAAACAGGAUUAGAUACCCUGGUAGUCCACGCCCUAAACGAUGUCAACUGGUUGUUGGGUGGGUUUCUACUCAGUAACGAAGCUAACGCGUGAAGUUGACCGCCUGGGGAGUACGGCCGCAAGGUUGAAACUCAAAUGAAUUGACGG
RNAcentral lists this ribosomal RNA (585 nucleotides) under uncultured bacterium. RNAcentral describes it as "bacterial SSU rRNA". It matches the Rfam family "Bacterial small subunit ribosomal RNA", at positions 338 to 916 of the family's 1533-position model. The record is from RNAcentral.